Molecule: non-coding RNA, 27 nt
Filed under: Rattus norvegicus (Norway rat)
Lineage: Eukaryota; Metazoa; Chordata; Mammalia; Rodentia; Muridae
Source: RNAcentral
UAGUCUCUAAAUAAGGGACUAUGGUUC